UAAGGAAUAUUGGACAAUGGAGGCAACUCCGAUCCAGCCAUGCCGCGUGAAGGAAUAAGGCCCUAUGGGUUGUAAACUUCUUUUAGACGGGACAAAACCCCUUUACGUGUAAAGGGUUGAUGGUACUGUCAGAAUAAGCAUCGGCUAACUUCGUGCCAGCAGCCGCGGUAAUACGAAGGAUGCAAGCGUUAUCCGGCAUUAUUGGGUUUAAAGGGUGCGUAGGCGGACUAAUAAGUCAGUGGUGAAAGCCUGCAGCUUAACUGCAGAAUUGCCAUUGAUACUGUUAGUCUUGAGUACAGUUGAGGUAGGCGGAAUGUGUCAUGUAGCGGUGAAAUGCUUAGAUAUGACACAGAACACCGAUUGCGAAGGCAGCUUGCUAAGCUGUAACUGACGCUGAGGCACGAAAGCGUGGGGAGCAAACA
This 422-nucleotide ribosomal RNA is filed under the name uncultured bacterium. RNAcentral describes it as "bacterial SSU rRNA". It matches the Rfam family "Bacterial small subunit ribosomal RNA", at positions 355 to 774 of the family's 1533-position model. The record is from RNAcentral.